CAUUGCUUUAAAUAGCUGUUGAGCACCAGAUCAAGGUACUGUCAGAGGUGCAAAGAGAAACUAGAGUCCCUGGCUUAACAGAAUUAAUGAAUUCUGUGACAAGGCACAUAACACUUGUCUUGCAACAUAAUUGCCUUUGAUUAGUAGUUAAGUGGUUAAUAACUAGUAUAGAGUUUAAAGGAAGGAGAGAUAUUUUUGGCUAGAAGCAAAACUUCAGAGUAGAGGAGGCGUUAGCACUGGACCUUGAGGGGUAAAUGAGAUUCCAAUAAGCUGAUGUUUUUAAGUUCUCUCAAUAUAUCUUUUUUAUUCUCCCGAAGACUAUCACCCAGGAUAAGUUACAGAGCAUUGUUAUAAGGACAUAGAAUGUUCCCUUUGUUCAAAAGUAUUAAGCCAACUAGAAAGAGUAUUGAUUUUUUUAAUCUUGAAUAUAAGAAAGCUAAAUAUUAUUAAUUAAAUUCGAAUUUUUUUAAGUGUUGAACACUUAGCACUUUCGUAUUUUUUUUCCAGUUUGCCAGUACUGCUAAAUAUAUGAAGAAUACUCCUUAUGUUAAUGAGGUAUCAACUGAUGAAGCUCUCCUGAAAAGGUAUAGAAAAGAAAUAAUGGAUCUUAAAAAACAAUUAGAGGAGGUUUCUUUAGAGACGCGGGCUCAGGCAAUGGAAAAAGACCAAUUGGCCCAACUUUUGGAAGAAAAAGAUUUGCUUCAGAAAGUACAGAAUGAGAAAAUUGAAAACUUAACACGGAUGCUGGUGACCUCUUCUUCCCUCACGUUGCAACAGGAAUUAAAGGUAAAA
Molecule: long non-coding RNA, 792 nt
Filed under: Homo sapiens (human)
Lineage: Eukaryota; Metazoa; Chordata; Mammalia; Primates; Hominidae
Description: non-protein coding lnc-BDH2-5:1
Source: RNAcentral